CUGGGAGGUGGAUGUUUACGUC
This 22-nucleotide microRNA is filed under the name Oryctolagus cuniculus (rabbit). RNAcentral describes it as "ocu-miR-30b-3p". Its record names the gene ocu-miR-30b-3p. The record is from miRBase by way of RNAcentral. Lineage: Eukaryota; Metazoa; Chordata; Mammalia; Lagomorpha; Leporidae.